Pecten maximus is the source of this 4416-nucleotide long non-coding RNA. RefSeq lists it as uncharacterized. The record is from RefSeq and is a predicted model, not a curated record. NCBI's taxonomy places the organism in Eukaryota, Metazoa, Mollusca, Bivalvia, Pectinida, Pectinidae. The transcript has 2 exons.
UGUAUUGGCACUGUGUUAGGUGUAUGAGAGCGGCUAAAUACCUACUGCUCCUAGAUAGUGUAUCUAACGGAAUAGAGAGGGACAUACAGUCCGCUACAGGGUGUGCACACGUGCUUGUAUGUUUAAAACUUUAAAAGGGAAUAACAUUUCAGACCAAGUUAAUUAAUUCUAAUUCAAUAGUUUGGAAUACUACUUCAUAAACAAUUGGAUUAUAAUUGGAUGGGGAAGUGACAUAUUGGAAGGUUACAUGCAACACGUAUUUAAGAUAUGACCAAAUGUGGUCAGUUUAUGUGAAAUAUAAUAAUAUUAUGUAAGUGACGACGUGAUGGACUGUCGAGAGUACCUAGGCUUAGUGUGCCGUGUUCUGAUCGCAAGUAAAUCUGCUUAAGUCGUCAUGUUACCUGCAAACAGAUUAAUGUACUGUUGGACGUACCUGAUCAAUAAGCCUGCCACUGAUUACAGAUUUGCUUACUCUGGGAUUUGAAUUGGAUCAGCAUAGUAACGGACUAAGCACGAUAGUAACCGGCUCACGUGAAUUGUUUCUAACGACAGGAAUACGAACUAUAGCAGCAGAAUCUGCAGACGUAAACGAUGUCUUGGCUCAAGUUCUGGAGUAGCAAGAAGUCAAAAUCGAAAGACAUCAAAGAUGAAUACCAGAAGGAAUUCCAAAAACUGGACGGACAGACGGAUGCAGAGAAAGAGAAGAAUAAGCUACGUCAUUCCUUGUCAAUAUCUCGAUCCGGAAGAUUCAAGUCGAAGAGUCGACAACGAUCCGGGAUUUUAGAUAAACCGGAAUUGUUCGACGGUAGUAAUCCAUCGGACGGAAAUGCUUCGUCUACGUCACAGAAUCCAACCCCUUCCGGGUCGUCCAGAUCCCCUAACAAUACGUGUAGAGACAUGAGACAAUUGUCCGGUAUGCAUGGAUUCCAGGGGGGCCGGACAGCUCCUCAGCCGGCGGCGGUAUAGUGUCCCACGUCUGAUCAACUUUAGGUGACAAAUCAUGUGUUUUAGCGGAUGAUAACAGUUCUAGAUUUUCGUAUGAUCAUGUGACCAAGCGGCAUGCCAAGUGAAAGUGCAAAACAUAACCGUACAUCCAUAUUGUUGCGUAUUAACACACCGAAGUGUUUCUAUAUAUGAUGAUAAAGUGCCUUACUUGUUUUCGAUAAUGCAUCGAAGUGUAUCUGUGGAAAUGCUUGACUGAAUACGAAUGAUUCACGAAUACAAAUGACUAAAUUGUUUUGUGAUUAAUGGAUCAAUUCAUCGGCUCUAUGCAACCCUUAAUGGCAUGCAGACUUAUUUAAAACGUAUAAAGCAAGCCACUUACCGGAGGGUACAACGGGAAGAUAUCACUUGAUUAUAAACAAUAACGAAACUAGAAACUGUAUUACGUCAAAAGGACGCGUGUUUGUUUUCGACGAAAUCAUUAUGUUUCUGAUUACGGUGUGAUUGCCAGGAAUAGUUGCUAGAUUGUUUGGUGAGGAUGGACGAAAGAGUAUAAAUCUGAUAGCCCUGACACACAGGGUUAUAGUGUGAAGGUGACCUUGACAUUUGCCUUCACAAUGGUGAGUUCAUUAUGUCUUGCUCAAAUUGUGAAGUGUAUAAGGUCUCUAUCCCUGCCCUGGAUAUACUGGUGGGCUUUAUUCCUCGUUGGUACUACAUGAUACACUACCCGUUUACGAAUUGUUUUGACAGACUUGACGUGAUUGAGCUGAGAAAACAACAACCCCUUUUCAGAACCAACAGUAAAAACGAUGGCCGUAUAGCAAUGUUUCGGUAUAAAAGUUCCGUCUGUAGUGAAUGGACAAGUUUGUAGCAUUGUCAUAACCUUUUGUUGUAUUUAAUGCAAAGAGAAAUCACAUCGACGAAUUAUUUUUGUAAUUAUUUUGCAUAUGAUCGCAUGACUGCAAUAUCUAAUUGAUCAUUUCGAAUUCAUUUUUUGUUUCCGACACAGAAGUGCCAUUAUCGUGAUUUGCGUUUGUAAGACCAGCUUGAUGCUGUCUAUCCGAAAUAUUCCACCAUCAACAAUACAUAUGAUCACAAUGCGGUUUACAUAAUUAGAGGGAUCAGUUGUAGUUCUCUUUGAUGCAUAGCUUUACAUUCCAGAUUGUGGCUUAUCGCUUAGUCGAUAAGUUGAUAUGCAUACCAUUCAUGUUUCAUUUAUAAAUAGAGAAAUGGAGUUUGUUGCAAAUCAGAAAAUUGCGUUAUAUAUAUAGUAUCAUGACAGUAGUGUUUUCACUGUGAUUAAGUUUCUACGUCACUCAAUCAAAUAAUCAUUAUUGAUGUAAUUGUUUCUGAUUUAUAUAUAUUACCUAUCUGGGAUAUGCUAAUAUUUGCAUGUUGGUAAGAACUCCCUGACAUUGAAAGAUUUUGCUAAUAUGUAAGUAACUGUCUCAUAAUUUUGUUGUAACCUUAGUAACGACCAUUUUGCCCUGAUCUCACGUGAUAGCUGGACAUCUGUAAUGUAAGUUGGUAAGACAAUAACACUAUUGUUUAUCCAGCAUCAUUCCCAUCGGUUACGUAUGACAACGUCAUCGACGUUAGCCAAUGACGUUGACAUGUGUACAAGGUAUAUCACCAGCUGUCAUUAUUGUACAGCUGAACAACCAUAAGAAUUGGUGAAAAAGUCUUAGAAAUAACGAGUUUGAUUUGUUGUUUGUAACGAUUUUUUUUUUUUUUUAUUUAAGACGAAACUAAUAAUCACUAUUUAUAAAAAUGUUUAAUGAAUCUGCGUAACAGAAAAAAUCGAUGUAAUUUGCAAUUUUUAUGCACGGUCCCUCAGUUUACAUAGUAAAGUAAUUAUUUUGUCGGUAUUCUCUAUAAAGUAAUUAUUUUGUCGGUAUUCUCUAUAAAGUGAUUAUUUUGUCGGUAUUAUCUGUAAUGUGGUUAUUUUGUCGAUAUUUUCAAGCUUGUUAGAACAAAAUAUUAGUAACUGUUACAGGUUUUUGCUAAGGACCAAACAUAUGUAUCUUACGAACAUCCUCUUGAAAAUAUCAAAUUCAUCAAAAUAACAAUGACUGCCCCUCCCCUUCAACAGUAAUGCAUUAGUUCAGAUUUGUAUUGAUUGCUAAAUUUCCACACUUUCCGCUCAUGAAGAGUCUCAAAGAAGGACGAAACGCCUCUGUAUUAAAACCUGAUAUUCACAAAUGUGUAAAUCUUUAAUUUAAUAUUUAAAUAGAGCCCGGAUAGUCUUUCCAUCGUCAAACGUUUUGAUAAUCAUAAAACUACAACGUGACCGUUGUAUGUGAUAUAGGAAUGUUACACAUUAUAAUUACAUCACAUACACAUAGCAUUAGAGACAUAAUUAUAUCCGCCUGUAUUCUACCAGGUCCCUGAUAUUGAACAGACGGGCGAUGACAAUUUUGUAGAAUUAUCUCCGUGACAGAGAGUAGAAGGUCCGAUCACGUACAAAUUGAUUCUAUUAUAGUGAAUCCUUUAACACCUCUGUCUGUAAGCUUUGAUGUUUAACAUUUUCAGACUUCCACAAUUAUUUCAAAAAUAGAUGGACAUUUGUAAUCAAUCCUACUCCGAGAUCUUUUUCUAGUCAACACAAAACAAUUAUAGAACAGAGUCGUUUCACGAACCAAUAUUAUUACAGCUGUUUUUGAUCUUUGGUUUCGGCUUGCAUUAGUUUAUAACAUGAUAAUUACUCCCGUGACUAUAAUCUAUCAAUUAAAUCUAGUAUGUGAAAUAACAACACGGCAAUGGUUAGGCACUAGAUAUUGCUUUGUUUCUGUACGGAGAAUUUCCCGCAUGGUCAGAUUGAAAAGUAUUUGUAGAGUGGUAAAGGAAUUCAUCCGGUAUUGUUUCAUUAAUUAUAAGGUAGAUCAAUAUUGCGUGUAAAUCUGCGCCAAUGAGCGGAACUAAUUAGGUAUCGGGACACUCUCCCUGAUAUACCUGUAGACAGAAUGAUUAACUUAGCAGAUAUUCCGGAGUCAAACUGAUUGCUCGUUCAGAUAUUUAGCUGCUACAACUAUCACAAAAGCUAGGUUAAUGUUGAGAUAUACAUCAUUGAUGAUCACAUCCAAUAAGUAUUGCUUUCAUCAGGACUUCUAACCAUUUAUACUAGUUUCACUUGCUUAGUGACGUCACUGUCAGACGCCUUAUCAUUGUACAUUUGGUUUGCGUUUUUCCAGAUUUAGACUUUAGCAUUCUAUCAAAUUUCCCGAUUUAUAUAAACAAUGUGAUUCUCAUUGUUAGAAUGAGUAUAACAUUUUAAAUCACGUUUAUGUCAAUGUUUGCGGAAGAACAUUUUUCAACAAAUUGUUACAGAUUAUGCAUAUAUGCUUUAAUUGCAGAACUCUAUUAUGGAUAUGUUAAAAUAUCAUGUGAAAUAUAUAAAGAAUUAAUUGUGUUCACAAGGUAUGGUGGUCUGUAAUUACCGUCAGUUAAUUAAAAAGAAAUCUAAAGUAAACUUAA